UUACGAUAUCAAAAGGUGACUGUAAGUGCGGCAAGCUCUCACUAGUCUAGCCCCUUAAAGCUCUUUCAUACGCGACACGUUUCUUCCAAAAAAAAGAGGUCUUGAAUCCGACAGUCAUCUUUAA
Long non-coding RNA from Xiphophorus hellerii (green swordtail), 124 nucleotides. RefSeq lists it as uncharacterized. NCBI's taxonomy places the organism in Eukaryota, Metazoa, Chordata, Actinopteri, Cyprinodontiformes, Poeciliidae. The record is from RefSeq and is a predicted model, not a curated record. The transcript is spliced from 3 exons.